UACGUAGGGGCCGAGCGUUGUCCGGAGUUAUUGGGCGUAAAGCGCGCGCAGGCGGCCUCGCGCGCCCGACGUGAAAGCCCCCGGCUUAACCGGGGAGGGUCGUUGGGGACGGCGGGGCUUGAGGGCGGGAGAGGGCGGUGGAAUUCCCGGUGUAGUGGUGAAAUGCGUAGAUAUCGGGAGGAACACCAGUGGCGAAGGCGACUACCUGGCCUGUUCUUGACGCUGAGGCGCGAAAGCUAGGGGAGCAAACGGG
Molecule: ribosomal RNA, 253 nt
Filed under: uncultured bacterium
Lineage: Bacteria
Description: partial 16S ribosomal RNA
Rfam family: Bacterial small subunit ribosomal RNA
Source: RNAcentral